Melospiza melodia melodia is the source of this 516-nucleotide long non-coding RNA. RefSeq lists it as uncharacterized. The record is from RefSeq and is a predicted model, not a curated record. The transcript has 3 exons. Lineage: Eukaryota; Metazoa; Chordata; Aves; Passeriformes; Passerellidae.
GCUGAGCUGACAGUGCUUAGACCAAGGGAAGAAGCACUAUGGUGGCUGGCAAGGUGGCAGUGCCAGUGCUUAGUGCUGCGUUCAACGUGUGCUGAUACUCUACACUUGAGGGAAGCUGCUUAAAAUCAGCAAACCCAGGAAUUCCACUGAUCCUUUGACUCCUCCUCCCUGGAGCUUUAAGAAGUCACAGCGAGAGAUUUCAGCCCUGGUUUCCGUGUUUCACAGAAGCAUCUGGCUGCUGGUUUGCAUUCUGUCAAAUAGGGGUGAGUUUCAUCUCGGAACUGAAGGUGUAAGUCCGGAUGUCUGAGCACUCCCUGCAGCUGUGACUCCACUGAAGACAACUGCUGUGUCAGAGAUUUAUCCCCACACAACUUCAAACCCCAAAUCUCCCCUCUUUUCAGCCAAUGUGGUGCUGUUCUGGGACUGUCAAAUUAUUUCAACAUCAUUUGACUGACAGGAAUUCAUAAUGCUCACUUGGUUUAUUUUUAAAUAUUUAUCAAAUCCACUGUUUGUCUA